GAGGAGCUGCUCAUCAAAACUAAGAAGGAGAAGCCCACCUUCAUCCCUUAUUUCAUCUGUGCCUGCAAGGAACUGCCCGGCAAGUUCCUACUGGGAUACCAGCCCCGGGGUAAACCCAGGAUAGAAUAUGUAACGGUGACUCCAGAGGGAUUCCGGUACCGGGGCCAGAUCUUCCCAACCGUGAAUGGACUGUUUAGAUGGUUUAAGGAUCACUACCAGGAUCCUGUACCAGGCAUCACCCCUAGCAGCAGCAGCAGGACCCGGACACCUGCCUCUAUCAAUGCUACCCCAGCCAACAUCAACCUUGCAGAUCUGACACGGGCUGUGAAUGCCCUGCCUCAGAACAUGACUUCACAGAUGUUCAGUGCCAUUGCUGCGGUGACAGGCCAAGGACAGAACCCUAAUGCCACCCCAGCCCAGUGGGCCUCCAGCCAGUACGGCUAUGGCGGCAGUGGAGGCGGCAGCAGUGCUUACCACGUAUGUGGCUUGGGGAGGAAGCUCCCUGUGCAGGGUGGGGCCCAUAGACUGCCCUCUCGCAUUGCCCACAAGGGGCUUCACAUGCACAGAUGGAGCUGCCACGGCCUUGGUAACUGUCUCCAACAGAUAUUUCUUGUCCUUAGGCCCAUUUGAAGGGGAAGAGGGUAAGAGAGGGCAUAACCUUUCCACGGGCCUUUGGGAUCUUUGGAACCCGCAAGCCACCAGAAAGUUGACAUGGUCAGGACCAGUGGGCACCACUGUGUGCUCGGUGCUGACCUGCAGGCUUCCCACUGCUGGUCAGAAGCACAUACUCAGUAGAAGAUCAUCUGGAAAGCUUUGCUGAGCCCACCCUUGCGCUUACCCAGAAUUCACAGCAAGGCCAAACAAGCCCCACACCCAUCCCUAUUUAACUGUUCAUGCCUCUCCAGGUAUUCCCAACGCCAGCCCAGCAGCCAGUGGCCACACCACUAAUGACCCCUAGCUACUCCUACGCGACCCCAAGCCAGCCCAUCACCACCCCUCAGUACCACCAGCUCCAGGCCAGCACCACCCCACAGUCGGCCCAGGCCCAGCCCCAGCCCUCUUCCAGCUCCCGGCAACGGCAGCAGCAGCCAAAGUCCAACAGCCAUGCAGCCAUCGACUGGGGGAAAAUGGCGGAGCAGUGGCUGCAGGAAAAGGAGGCAGAACGGCGGAAACAGAAGCAGCGGCUGACACCUC
Molecule: small RNA, 1194 nt
Filed under: Pan troglodytes (chimpanzee)
Lineage: Eukaryota; Metazoa; Chordata; Mammalia; Primates; Hominidae
Description: retained intron
Source: RNAcentral